ACGACCAGCCACACUGGGACUGAGACACGGCCCAGACUCCUACGGGAGGCAGCAGUGGGGAAUUUUGGACAAUGGGCGAAAGCCUGAUCCAGCAAUGCCGCGUGUGUGAAGAAGGCCUUCGGGUUGUAAAGCACUUUUGUCCGGAAAGAAAUCCUUGGCUCUAAUACAGUCGGGGGAUGACGGUACCGGAAGAAUAAGCACCGGCUAACUACGUGCCAGUAGCCGCGGUAAUACGUAGGGUGCGAGCGUUAAUCGGAAUUACUGGGCGUAAAGCGUGCGCAGGCGGUUUGCUAAGACCGAUGUGAAAUCCCCGUGCUCAACCUGGGAACUGCAUUGGUGACUGGCAGGCUAGAGUAUGGCAGAGGGGGGUAGAAUUUCUCGACUCACUAUAGGGAGAGCGGAUUCUGGCUCAGUAAACUCAAAUGAAUCGACCGAGGUAGAGUUCGAUUCUGGC
RNAcentral lists this ribosomal RNA (454 nucleotides) under uncultured bacterium. Its description in RNAcentral is "bacterial SSU rRNA". It matches the Rfam family "Bacterial small subunit ribosomal RNA", at positions 300 to 718 of the family's 1533-position model. The record is from RNAcentral.